RNAcentral lists this ribosomal RNA (413 nucleotides) under Arthrobacter sp. R10.50. RNAcentral describes it as "bacterial SSU rRNA". It matches the Rfam family "Bacterial small subunit ribosomal RNA", at positions 82 to 507 of the family's 1533-position model. The record is from RNAcentral. Lineage: Bacteria; Bacillati; Actinomycetota; Actinomycetes; Micrococcales; Micrococcaceae.
GCUGGGGGAUUAGUAGGCGAACGGGUGAGUAACACGUGAGUAACCUGCCCUUAACUCUGGGAUAAGCCUGGGAAACUGGGUCUAAUACCGGAUAUGACUCCUCAUCGCAUGGUGGGGGGUGGAAAGCUUUAUUGUGGUUUUGGAUGGACUCGCGGCCUAUCAGCUUGUUGGUGAGGUAAUGGCUCACCAAGGCGACGACGGGUAGCCGGCCUGAGAGGGUGACCGGCCACACUGGGACUGAGACACGGCCCAGACUCCUACGGGAGGCAGCAGUGGGGAAUAUUGCACAAUGGGCGAAAGCCUGAUGCAGCGACGCCGCGUGAGGGAUGACGGCCUUCGGGUUGUAAACCUCUUUCAGUAGGGAAGAAGCGAAAGUGACGGUACCUGCAGAAGAAGCGCCGGCUAACUACGUG